RNAcentral lists this ribosomal RNA (494 nucleotides) under uncultured bacterium. RNAcentral describes it as "partial 16S ribosomal RNA". It matches the Rfam family "Bacterial small subunit ribosomal RNA", at positions 29 to 507 of the family's 1533-position model. The record is from RNAcentral.
ACGAACGCUGGCGGCGUGCCUAAUACCUGCAAGUAGAACGCUGAAGGAGGAGCUUGCUUCUCUGGAUGAGUUGCGAACGGGUGAGUAACGCGUAGGUAACCUGCCUGGUAGCGGGGGAUAACUAUUGGAAACGAUAGCUAAUACCGCAUAAUAGUAGAUGUUGCAUGACAUUUGCUUAAAAGGUGCAAUUGCAUCACUACCAGAUGGACCUGCGUUGUAUUAGCUAGUUGGUGGGGUAACGGCUCACCAAGGCGACGAUACAUAGCCGACCUGAGAGGGUGAUCGGCCACACUGGGACUGAGACACGGCCCAGACUCCUACGGGAGGCAGCAGUAGGGAAUCUUCGGCAAUGGACGGAAGUCUGACCGAGCAACGCCGCGUGAGUGAAGAAGGUUUUCGGAUCGUAAAGCUCUGUUGUAAGAGAAGAACGAGUGUGAGAGUGGAAAGUUCACACUGUGACGGUAUCUUACCAGAAAGGGACGGCUAACUACGUG